Oryzias melastigma (Indian medaka) is the source of this 672-nucleotide long non-coding RNA. RefSeq lists it as uncharacterized. NCBI's taxonomy places the organism in Eukaryota, Metazoa, Chordata, Actinopteri, Beloniformes, Adrianichthyidae. The record is from RefSeq and is a predicted model, not a curated record. The transcript is spliced from 3 exons.
UUUCAGUCCUAUCAGACCUACACAAUAAUCUGGAUUGUGGUGGAUGUUGUGUCCGUGUUGAUAAUGGCUGCCCUCUUCAUCUGUCAGUGGAAAACACACUGUUCCCGCCUCAGAGAAGGGAGAAACAGAAAUGAACGAUCUUCGAACUUCUCAGUUGGAGAUCUUGCAACCUUUCCUUUCCUGUCCAGCCGAGCCAUGCCAGAUUAGGGCUGCAUGGAAGAGAAACUGUGUCAUUUCAAAGCACUUUUUUGAUAAUUUCAUAAAACUUAAAGUGUAAUUUCAAACAUAGUUUAGGAAGAAAGUGGACACAACCACCAAAGAUUGGCAGUCAGUUACAUUCUUUUGAAUUUUGUGCAGUUUUUAUAGUCUUUUUUUUUGUCUUUUACUACUGAAUAUGUAAUGUCUGAGCUCUGUGUUUGAAAAACACACACUGUAACUAUGCAUAACUUUCUCUUUGGUGAAUUUCUUAAUUAAAUGAGUACAUUUGUCAUUGUUUCACUAAUGCAGCUAUAAUGUUUCUGCUUUCUGAGCCACAUGAAUUUUUCCUCUGUUUAAAAAGUGAUUUUUAAAAUGUGUCAAAUGUAAAUAAAAGAAUAAAACUCUAUACUGUAAUCUCAGGGAAGACAAACUUAAAAGGACAACAUAUGAAAAGAUUAAAGAAAUACAAAUCUG